UUUAAGGCUUUGUUUGGAUUUGUGGUAUGAGAUGGAAUGGAGUGGUAUGUGGUGGUAUGAAGUGAAGUUCCAUUGUUUGGAUUCUUUAAAAAUGAAUGGAAUGGAGUGGUAUGUGAUGGUAUGGAUUCCAUCCCAUUCCAUCAUUUUCUCUUAUUUUUCUUCCCCUCCAAUUUGGGGUGUAUGGGAUGGAAUACAAAAUGUCCAAACAAUGGAAUACAUUUUAUGCUCCAUUCCAUCCCACUCCGCUCCAUUCCAUCUUAUUCCAUUCCGCUCCAUUCCGUUAUGUACCAUCAAUCCAAACAUAGCCUA
This 309-nucleotide long non-coding RNA is filed under the name Trifolium pratense (red clover). RNAcentral's name for it is "long non-coding RNA (TPRA_LNC012762)". Lineage: Eukaryota; Viridiplantae; Streptophyta; Magnoliopsida; Fabales; Fabaceae. The record is from RNAcentral.